CAUUUAAAGAGUGCGUAAUAGCUCACUAGUCGAGUGACACUGCGCCGAAAAUGUACCGGGGCUAAACAUAUUACCGAAGCUGUGGAUUGUCCUUUGGACAAUGGUAGGAGAGCGUUCUAAGGGCGUUGAAGCAUGAUCGUAAGGACAUGUGGAGCGCUUAGAAGUGAGAAUGCCGGUGUGAGUAGCGAAAGACGGGUGAGAAUCCCGUCCACCGAUUGACUAAGGUUUCCAGAGGAAGGCUCGUCCGCUCUGGGUUAGUCGGGUCCUAAGCUGAGGCCGACAGGCGUAGGCGAUGGAUAACAGGUUGAUAUUCCUGUACCACCUAUAAUCGUUUUAAUCGAUGGGGGGACGCAGUAGGAUAGGCGAAGCGUGCGAUUGGAUUGCACGUCUAAGCAGUAAGGCUGAGUAUUAGGCAAAUCCGGUACUCGUUAAGGCUGAGCUGUGAUGGGGAGAAGACAUUGUGUCUUCGAGUCGUUGAUUUCACACUGCCGAGAAAAGCCUCUAGAUAGAAAAUAGGUGCCCGUACCGCAAACCGACACAGGUAGUCAAGAUGAGAAUUCUAAGGUGAGCGAGCGAACUCUCGUUAAGGAACUCGGCAAAAUGACCCCGUAACUUCGGGAGAAGGGGUGCUCUUUAGGGUUAACGCCCAGAAGAGCCGCAGUGAAUAGGCCCAAGCGACUGUUUAUCAAAAACACAGGUCUCUGCUAAACCGUAAGGUGAUGUAUAGGGGCUGACGCCUGCCCGGUGCUGGAAGGUUAAGAGGAGUGGUUAGCUUCUGCGAAGCUACGAAUCGAAGCCCCAGUAAACGGCGGCCGUAACUAUAACGGUCCUAAGGUAGCGAAAUUCCUUGUCGGGUAAGUUCCGACCCGCACGAAAGGCGUAACGAUUUGGGCACUGUCUCAACGAGAGACUCGGUGAAAUCAUAGUACCUGUGAAGAUGCAGGUUACCCGCGACAGGACGGAAAGACCCCGUGGAGCUUUACUGUAGCCUGAUAUUGAAAUUCGGCACAGCUUGUAC
Molecule: ribosomal RNA, 1018 nt
Filed under: Staphylococcus aureus
Lineage: Bacteria; Bacillati; Bacillota; Bacilli; Caryophanales; Staphylococcaceae
Description: partial 23S ribosomal RNA
Rfam family: Bacterial large subunit ribosomal RNA
Source: RNAcentral